Cryptomeria japonica (Japanese cedar) is the source of this 896-nucleotide long non-coding RNA. RefSeq lists it as uncharacterized. The record is from RefSeq and is a predicted model, not a curated record. NCBI's taxonomy places the organism in Eukaryota, Viridiplantae, Streptophyta, Pinopsida, Cupressales, Cupressaceae. The transcript has 2 exons.
UUCUUUCCAUUGAUUCAUUGAUUAAUUUUAUUGAAGCAUAAAAUUAUCGGAUGGUUCCCUGGCUGGUGUGGAAGUUGCUAUGUUAGGGUUACAGAUAUGAAGGAAUCGGGAUUACAAAGCCACCUGCGACUGCCAGAGAGCUUUGUUUGUUCCCGUGCAUUUCAUCUAUGCAGAACAAUGCAGAUUUUGGGGAGAAACUUAGGCGGAUGAAGCAGAUUUGUAGUUUCUCAAUGUUUUUUUUCAAUGGAUGAUGGGUUAACAAAGGCUUUCCUAAGCCUCCCUACUUAGACCCUUCUUGAAAGGUUGCAGAUAGAAGAAAAAGUAAGCAUGAAAAGGAAAAUGCUCCCCGACCUCUUAUGGAGGCCAAACCUUGGAGACCAAUUCCCUCUAUCAAUAUUCAGGAUUCACCUUAUGAAUUCAUUGCUAAUGAUCUACAAUUAAUGCAAUUUUAGUUCAGAUCUCAUGGGACAAUGCCUCUUUAAUACUUUAUCUGACCUUCACAAAUGGGUUGUAACAAAUAGGUAUUCUUCUCUCUAUUUUCACCUUUUAUCUCUCGAUUGUUUUGUGGUUGUUUUUGAAGAUGAGGAGGCCGGAAAUAUAAUCUUGAGUAAAUCUUUCCAUCAAUUCAAAUAAAUUCUCCGCAAUGUUCAACCUUGUAACCCUCUUUCACCUCUACCCAUGGCAAGUCCUCUUCCUAUUUGGUUUACCCUUCCUAAGCUUCCUCGGGAGAUAACAUUCCAAGAAAUGACCCCUUGAAGAUGAACAAUUUGUGAUUGUGACCAUCCAGAGGAUGUUGAAUCCCAAGGAUGAUGAUUGGGUUGCCAUGAUUUCUCCUUCAAGUGGCAAUUAUGGAUUUUCAAUAACAUAAAGUCAAUGUUAUAAAUGAGAUUUAUAUA